Molecule: ribosomal RNA, 369 nt
Filed under: Columbicola waltheri
Lineage: Eukaryota; Metazoa; Arthropoda; Insecta; Psocodea; Philopteridae
Description: partial 12S ribosomal RNA
Source: RNAcentral
CCCUAUUAUAAAGGGUUGACAAAAAAUUAGAGAGUAAGGUAUAAAAUCCCCAAAACUAUCUAGAAUGGCGGUUUUUUUUCUUAUCAGAAAAGUGUGUCUCUAAAACGAAAUUACACGACUAUCUUUCUUACUCUUGAAAAUUUCAUCCUGUACACCGCCGUCUGAAGGGUCAAAAUAAUAGCUUAACUCUCAUCCUCUAAGAAUGGAGGAAUAAGUCAGGUAAGGUGCAGACCAUGGGUAAGAACAGAUGCGCUUCAAUGAACAAACCCGAGAAAGAUUUUGCAAUAACUCCUUUAAGGAGAAUUUGAAAGUAAGAAUUUUUUAUCAAAAAAAUCUGAACUAAUUCUAAAAAAAUGUACACAUCGCCCG